CGGAGAGGGAGCAUGAGACAAGGGCCCAGGCCCUACGGGGCGCAGCAGUCGCGAAAACUCCGCAAUACACGAAAGUGUGACGGGGCUAUCCCGAGUGCCAUCCGCUGAGGAUGGCUUUUCCCCAGUGUAUAAAGCUGGGGGAAUAAGGAGAGGGCAAGCCUGGUGUCAGCCGCCGCGGUAAUACCAGCUCUCCGAGUGGUGGGGAUGUUUAUUGGGCCUAAAGCAUUCGUAGCCUGCUUGGCAAGUCCUCCGUUAAAUCCAACGAUUCAAUCGUUGGGCUGCGGGGGAUACUGUCCGGCUAGGGGGCGGGAGAGGCCGACGGUAUCCCCGGGGUAGGGGUGAAAUCCUAUAAUCCCGGGAGGACCACCAGUGGCGAAGGCUGUCGGCUAGAACGCGCUCGACGGUGAGGGAUGAAAGCUGGGGGAGCGAACCGGAUUAGAUACCCGGGUAGUCCCAGCUGUAAACGAUGCAGGCUAGGUGUUGGCGCGGCUACGUGCCGCUCCAGUGCCGCAGGGAAGCCGUUAAGCCUGCCGCCUGGGAAGUACGGCCGCAAGGCUGAAACUUAAAGGAAUUGGCGGGGGAGCACCACAAGGUGUGAAGCUUGCGGUUUAAUUGGAGUCAACGCCGGAAAUCUCACCGGGGGCGACAGCAGAAUGAAGGUCAGAUUGAAGGUCUUACCAGACAAGCUGAGAGGAGGUGCAUGGCCGUCGCCAGUUCGUGCCGUGAGGUGUCCUGUUAAGUCAG
This 744-nucleotide ribosomal RNA is filed under the name uncultured organism. RNAcentral describes it as "bacterial SSU rRNA". It matches the Rfam family "Archaeal small subunit ribosomal RNA", at positions 291 to 1037 of the family's 1478-position model. The record is from RNAcentral.